This 800-nucleotide long non-coding RNA is filed under the name Homo sapiens (human). RNAcentral's name for it is "HSALNT0210955". Lineage: Eukaryota; Metazoa; Chordata; Mammalia; Primates; Hominidae. The record is from RNAcentral.
ACAUAAGAUCUGCCCCCUACCCAGCCUAGUCCAGCUUACCCUGGGGAGAGAGAGUUUGAACCAUAUAUGAGAUGGGAAACCAGACCAGAUUGUUUUAAUAAACACAAGUGACGACUUAUGAGUUAUGACAGAGAAUCAAAUAUUGUUAAGGGGACUGGGUCCCUAGAGGGAAAGGAGAGCCAGUGACAGGAACACACAGCUGGUAGCAGCCAUUUGCAAGAUAAAACUGCUCCAUGUUUCUGCCUCAACAAAUUGAAUGUCUUCAAUCAAACUGGUUGAAUAUCUGGGACAGCCACGAGAACAAAGUAGGAAGGAGCAGAGCGAACUGAGAAGAGAACACACAGCCAGGAGAUGCACAGAAAGGAGAUACAUUUCCUUUGCCUGAGUCACCAGAAGAGUCUUUAGAGCCACGGUGGAAACCAAGGAAAUAUUUGGAGGCAACAGAAUGAAUGACAAUCCAGGCACAAGGCUGAGAAGCAAAAUUUAAGAUGCAGAGAGUUUGAGAUUGGGGCACCAGUGGAAGAGGGAGAACAGAAAUGAGGUAUUUACAGAGGAGAGAAGUCUGUCAGUAAACUGGGAACUGGGCAACUUUGGGGACUGCAUCCAGAGUGGAGAACCAAGACUCUGCCCAAUAAAGAGGGAGGAAGACAAAUGGGCUCAAGGAGCUACUUUGGAUUCUCUGUUGGUGGUAGAUUUUGUGUGGAACAUUUUAUAGAUGUCACAGGGGACAUGAUUGACAGAAAGAUGCAACAGACACUGUACAGGAACAUAAAGCUUCUUAAUGAUAAAAUAAGGGAUGA